This 484-nucleotide ribosomal RNA is filed under the name uncultured bacterium. RNAcentral describes it as "partial 16S ribosomal RNA". It matches the Rfam family "Bacterial small subunit ribosomal RNA", at positions 29 to 507 of the family's 1533-position model. The record is from RNAcentral.
AUUGAACGCUGGCGGAAUGCUUUACACAUGCAAGUCGAACGGCAGCACGGGGGCAGCCCUGGUGGCGAGUGGCGAACGGGUGAGUAAUACAUCGGAACGUGCCCGGUCGUGGGGGAUAACGUAGCGAAAGUUACGCUAAUACCGCAUACGAUCUGAGGAUGAAAGCGGGGGACCUUCGGGCCUCGCGCGAUCGGAGCGGCCGAUGUCCGAUUAGGUAGUUGGUGGGGUAAAGGCCUACCAAGCCGACGAUCUGUAGCUGGUCUGAGAGGACGACCAGCCACACUGGGACUGAGACACGGCCCAGACUCCUACGGGAGGCAGCAGUGGGGAAUUUUGGACAAUGGGCGCAAGCCUGAUCCAGCCAUUCCGCGUGCAGGACGAAGGCCUUCGGGUUGUAAACUGCUUUUGUACGGAACGAAAAGGCUCUGGCUAAUACCUGGGGCUCAUGACGGUACCGGAAGAAUAAGCACCGGCUAACUACGUG